Non-coding RNA from Triticum urartu, 1529 nucleotides. The record is from RefSeq and is a predicted model, not a curated record. Lineage: Eukaryota; Viridiplantae; Streptophyta; Magnoliopsida; Poales; Poaceae.
CGAGGAAGCGACCUUAUCGAGCCCCACCACUUUUCCUUUUUGUCUCAAGCAAUCUCCCCUCUCCUCUCCUCAUUUUCUCUUCCCCGUGUAGGGUUGCCGCCGCCGCCGCCCCAUCGGCACAUCCAAGCUCCUCCGGCGCCCGCUCCUUCGUCGGGAGGACGAGACCAUGGUGGCGACGGACGGUGAGGAGGGGGCGUCCAGGUCGACGAGAAGCUGCGAUUUAGCGCCGCCGCCGCCUCUCAGCACGCAACCUCUCCUUUCCUAUCUCCUCUGCAGCUCCCCUGUUCCUCCGGUGGCAUCGAACCCCAUAGUCAUCUCCUACUUCCCUCUCUUAUUCCCCUGUGUGUCCGCGAGAUGGGCCAAGCCGGCACACACGGCAAAGGGCGGCUGCGGCUACGGCUCCGACGCAGGCGCCGUGGAGGUGGAGGCGAAGCUGCGGCGGCUAAUGGUGGACGGCCGCGUCAGCGACGUCAGCCUCGACGACUCGACGAGUUCCAUCACCUUCACUGCUACGCCAGGAGGCUGGUCUAGAUUAGGUUCGUUUCUUGGAGUAUGACAAGCUGAUGGUGAUCCUCACUCUGACAAAAUAACGAAACAUUCAGUGCUGGAGCUUCCAAAGGGAUCUUCAUCCAGUGAUGAAGAUGGAUCCUGCAUAGAAAAUGAUUCCGUUGAAGCAUUUGAAGCUGAGUUACACAAUUUUGACUUGUGACAUCAAGGAAGGAGAUUAUUAUGUGUAUGACAAAGAUGAAGGCUGCUAUAUAUGUGAAUGGCGAUGAAGGGUCUGAUUAUGAAUUUGAUGAAAGUGACUUCAAUCAGCAAAUUGACUUGAAUCGGCAGCUGGAUUAUAAAUUCGACAAUGUAGAUUGGGGAUGCUCUGACAGCAAGGUUGUUCCACAUAUAUGGUCUAAUCAAAUAUUUGUGGUAAGGAUGAACGUCAGUAUGAAGAGAAAACAUAUAUCUGAACUAAAAUUACAAGCUACAAAGGCUUUUAAGAGAAAUGAAUAUAUCACAGCCGGACAGAUGUAUUCAGAUGUAAGUCAUCACACAUCUUUAUUCCAUAAAUAGGAUUUAGAGUUUACAGGAAAUGUUGUCCCGUGGUGCAAAAAGUGCAUAACUUCUAUUAGGCUAGCUCUAGGACAAAGUGACAAACAUAUGUGAUAUUUCAAGUGAGAACUUUUUUCUUCUGAAUCAUUAACUGAUGGUCUGUAAGGAAUUAUGCCAUUAGCUUUUUGUAAAGGUGCAAACAAAUCAGUCGAUCAGAAACACCAUGAUGAUGUGGACAUGUCUGUUGUCCUAAAGCUGGACUAGAUGUUCGUAGUAUUGGGAAAAAAGGAUGUUUCUUAACAGUAUUAUUAUGUCCCAUUAGUGUGAAUGCUAACUAAAGAGUUGUUGCCUAUAUGACAUAUUAUUUCAUUUAUUAUAGGAAUUUCAACAAAAUAAUCGAUAUUAAUUAUUCCCAUUGAGACAACAAGGAAUAGGUGUUCAAGGCUUAGCAGACACUUUCAUUUUACUUGGCAUGCUAUUUGCUU